GGAGAGUGUUUGAGGAGGGAUCUGCGGCCCAUCAGCUAGUUGGUGAGGUAACGGCUCACCAAGGCGAAGACGGGUAGGGGGUGUGAGAGCAUGGCCCCCCACAAUGGGACUGAGACACGGCCCAUACUCCUACGGGAGGCAGCAGCGGGGAAUAUUGCGCAAUGGACGGAAGUCAGACGCAGCGACGCCGCGUGGGUGAGGAAGGCCUUCGGGUUGUAAAGCCCUUUUCAGGGGAGCGAGAAAGGACGGUACCCUUGGAAUAAGCGUCGGCUAACUACGUGCCAGCAGCCGCGGUAAGACGUAGGACGCAAGCGUUAUCCGGAUUUACUGGGCGUAAAGCGCCUGUAGGCGGUCAAGUAAGUCGGAUGUGAAAGCCCCGUGCUCAGCGCGGGGAAGCCAUUCGAUACUGCGUGACUAGAGAACGGCAGAGGGAAACGGAAUUUCUGGUGUAGCGGUAAAAUGCGCAGAGAUCAGAAAGAACACCGAUGGCGAAGGCAGUUUCCUAGGCCGCAUCUGACGCUGAGAGGCGAAAGCUAGGGGAGCAAACAGGAUUAGAGACCCUGGUAGUCCUAGCUGUAAACGAUGGAUGCUAGGUGUGGGCCGGAAAGGUCCGUGCCGUAGUUAACGCGAUAAGCAUCCCGCCUGGGGAGUACGGCCGCAAGGCUAAAACUCAAACGAAUUGACGGGGACCCGCACAAGCAGCGGAGCGUGUGGUUUAAUUCGAUGCUACACGCAGAACCUUACCUGGGCUUGACAUGUAGGUGGUAGUGAAGUGAAAGCGGAGCGACCCUUCGGGGAGCCUACACAGGUGCUGCAUGGCUGUCGUCAGCUCGUGCCGUGAGGUGUCGGGUUAAGUCCCGUAACGAGCGCAACCCUUGUCCUUAGUUACAAGUGUCUAAGGAGACUGCCGGUGACAAACCGGAGGAAGGUGGGGAUGACGUCAAGUCAGCAUGGCCCUUAUGUCCAGGGCGACACACACGCUACAAUGGUCGGUACAAUGGGCAGCGCAGCCGCGAGGUGAAGCGAAUCCCAACAAAGCCGAUCCCAGUUCGGAUUGCAGGCUGCAACCCGCCUGCAUGAAGCCGGAGUUGCUAGUAACCGCGCGUCAGCCAUAGUGCGGUGAUACGUUCCCG
RNAcentral lists this ribosomal RNA (1133 nucleotides) under uncultured organism. Its description in RNAcentral is "bacterial SSU rRNA". It matches the Rfam family "Bacterial small subunit ribosomal RNA", at positions 210 to 1376 of the family's 1533-position model. The record is from RNAcentral.